AUGUGGAAACUGAAGGUACCUUUGAAAAUUAAGGCUUUUAUAUGGUUAGUUAUCAAAGGGAGGAUCCUGACCAAGGACAACUUGUGUAAAAAAGGCUAGAAAGGCACCAACAAAUGUGAAUUUUGUGAUGCCAAUGAAUGUAUUGAUCAUCUGUUUUUCACUUGUUCUUUUGCUAGGUUUCUUUGGAAUGUAGUUGGGAGUGCUUUGGGAAAUCCCAAACACCCCUGUCAUUCUUUGACUUUUGCCAGAAUUGGCUUCCUAAGUAUACUGGGAAAGAUAGAAUGGUUAUAG
RNAcentral lists this ribosomal RNA (291 nucleotides) under Triticum aestivum (bread wheat). RNAcentral's name for it is "partial small subunit ribosomal RNA". Lineage: Eukaryota; Viridiplantae; Streptophyta; Magnoliopsida; Poales; Poaceae. The record is from RNAcentral.